RNAcentral lists this ribosomal RNA (402 nucleotides) under uncultured bacterium. RNAcentral describes it as "bacterial SSU rRNA". It matches the Rfam family "Bacterial small subunit ribosomal RNA", at positions 356 to 773 of the family's 1533-position model. The record is from RNAcentral.
GGGGAAUAUUGGGCAAUGGAGGAAACUCUGACCCAGCAACGCCGCGUGGAGGAAGAAGGUUUUCGGAUCGUAAACUCCUGUCCUUGGAGACGAGUAGAAGACGGUAUCCAAGGAGGAAGCCCCGGCUAACUACGUGCCAGCAGCCGCGGUAAUACGUAGGGGGCAAGCGUUGUCCGGAAUAAUUGGGCGUAAAGGGCGCGUAGGCGGCUCGGUAAGUCUGGAGUGAAAGUCCUGCUUUUAAGGUGGGAAUUGCUUUGGAUACUGUCGGGCUUGAGUGCAGGAGAGGUUAGUGGAAUUCCCAGUGUAGCGGUGAAAUGCGUAGAGAUUGGGAGGAACACCAGUGGCGAAGGCGACUAACUGGACUGUAACUGACGCUGAGGCGCGAAAGUGUGGGGAGCAAAC